AUGUUUUCAACAGAUGAGAAAGCAGCAUGUUUUAAAAGAACCAAUCUUCUCACCAAAAGAAAAUUGCGAUUCUGAAGCUAAAAGUACAAAUUAAAUAACUAAUCAGAAGGCAGAAACUAAAAAGAAGAAAUCGUUAUUAUUAAGACUUGUUGUUCUUUACGCUAAAAACACAAAUCAAACAACCAAUCAGAUGUGACAAGCUCAAAGAACGAACAGAUCUUUUUACCACAGAAUAGAGCUCACAAGUGAGCGAGCAAUGAGAUUAUGGAGAGACUGGACGAGCAUUAGGGUUUUGAUUUGGGUAGUGAGGCAGCAAUGAAGAAUUGGCGUUUCCAGUGAUUAUAUAGGGAGAGCGAGUGUGGAAAAAG
Molecule: long non-coding RNA, 368 nt
Filed under: Ricinus communis (castor bean)
Lineage: Eukaryota; Viridiplantae; Streptophyta; Magnoliopsida; Malpighiales; Euphorbiaceae
Description: long non-coding RNA (RCOM_LNC000481)
Source: RNAcentral